Molecule: transfer RNA, 71 nt
Filed under: Agathobacter rectalis
Lineage: Bacteria; Bacillati; Bacillota; Clostridia; Lachnospirales; Lachnospiraceae
Also listed under: 4 other names
Rfam family: tRNA
About the family: Transfer RNA (tRNA) molecules are approximately 80 nucleotides in length. Their secondary structure includes four short double-helical elements and three loops (D, anti-codon, and T loops). Further hydrogen bonds mediate the characteristic L-shaped molecular structure. tRNAs have two regions of fundamental functional importance: the anti-codon, which is responsible for specific mRNA codon recognition, and the 3' end, to which the tRNAs corresponding amino acid is attached (by aminoacyl-tRNA synthetases). tRNAs cope with the degeneracy of the genetic code in two manners: having more than one tRNA (with a specific anti-codon) for a particular amino acid; and 'wobble' base-pairing, i.e. permitting non-standard base-pairing at the 3rd anti-codon position.
Source: RNAcentral
GGGGCGUAGCUCAGUUGGGAGAGCACCUGCCUUGCAAGCAGGGGGUCAAGAGUUCGAAUCUCUCCGUCUCC